RNAcentral lists this long non-coding RNA (1375 nucleotides) under Lactuca sativa (garden lettuce). RNAcentral describes it as "long non-coding RNA (LSAT_LNC003478)". The record is from RNAcentral. Lineage: Eukaryota; Viridiplantae; Streptophyta; Magnoliopsida; Asterales; Asteraceae.
UCACUCGAUACACUCGAUAGUAUACACUCAGUUUCAGGUUCCACUGCUUUUUGCUAAAGUGCGCCACCAUGGGCGCAUUACGCAUCAUCUUCCUCGUCGUCUCUCUUCUUUCCGCCGGCUCCGUCGUCUCCGCCCACAACAUCACGGCUAUCUUGUCGCAGUUUCCUGAGUACAGCGAGUUCAACAGCUACCUCUCACAGACAAAGCUCAGCGACGAGAUCAACAGCCGUGAAACGAUCACCGUUCUGGUGUUGAACAAUGGCGUCGUUUCGUCACUUGCCGCGAAACAUCCACUCUCCGUCGUCAAAAGCGUCUUGAGCCUCCAUAUCCUUUUAGACUACUACGACAACAAGAAGCUUCACGCCAUUUCCGACGGCACCACGCUCUCCACCACCUUGUACCAAACCACCGGAAAUUCCCCAGGAAACGUCGGAUUUGUUAAUAUUACAGAUUUGAAAGGAGGUAAGGUUGGAUUCGGCUCCGCCGUGUCCGGUUCGAAGCUCGAUUCUUCGUACACCAAGUCUGUUAAACAGAUUCCGUAUAACAUUUCGGUUUUGGAGAUCAACGCGCCUAUAAUCGCACCGGGGAUUCUAACAGCGCCUGCUCCAUCGGCUGAUGUUAAUAUUACUGGUUUGUUGGAGAAAGCAGGUUGCAAGACGUUUGUGAAGCUGAUUACUGAUACCGGAGUGCUGAAGGUUUUCCAGACGGCGGCGGAGAAGGGAUUGACGGUGUUUGCUCCGAACGAUGAAGCGUUUAAGGCCGCCGGUGUACCGGAUCUGAGCAAGUUGUCGAAUGCUGAGCUUGUUGCACUGUUACAAUACCACGCUCUCGCUACUUACACUCCGAAAGGCUCGUUGAAAACAACCAAGGAUCCGAUUAGCACACUGGCGACGAACGGCGCCGGAAAGUACGAUCUGACCGUUGAGACCGCCGGAGAUUCCGUUACACUUGAUUCUGGAUUUUCCACUUCGCGUGUUGCUAGCACGGUUCUCGAUUCGACGCCUCUCUGUAUUUUCACCGUCGACAAUGUACUUCUCCCCACUGAAUUGUUUGGUAAAUCUCCAUCUCCAGCUCCAUCUCUUUCACCGGAAACUUCUCCGGCGUCGUCUCCUGCACCUGCUGCUCUAUCUCCGGAACCUGCAGCAGCACCUUCCCCAUUCCUUUCUCCUCCCGCUCCUCCGACUUCAUCUCCCACCGCCGGUCCUGCUCCGUCAGAUGGCCCCACCGCCGACUCCCAAAAUAGCAAUGCUAGCAACGCCGUUGACAGCGUCAAAGCUCCGUCGGUUGUCCAUGCCACAUUUACGCUGUUGGUCUUGAUUAUGUCAUACGUUAUGCUUUGAAUCUGAUUUUCGAUUGUUUGCGCUCUUUUUGUUUA